Mus musculus (house mouse) is the source of this 967-nucleotide long non-coding RNA. RefSeq annotates it as predicted gene, 54084. The record is from RefSeq and is a predicted model, not a curated record. Lineage: Eukaryota; Metazoa; Chordata; Mammalia; Rodentia; Muridae. The transcript has 4 exons.
AAGCAACAGUUACUCAUUUUGGGCCAAAAACUACAGGCAUGACUGUGCAUGCUUACUGGCAGCUCUCAGACCAUCCCAGCUCAGCUACUGUGUUUGGCUCUCUUCCCCAUGCUCAGCACUGUAAACAAACAAUCGGACAACAAAAGCAUGGGAUUCCUGAUGCUCUUCUAAGUUUGACCACAACCAAAUUGUAGGGUGUACCUGAUUCAGAAGCUCAGCGGCAGCCACGUUUGCAUCCAAGUGGCCCCCACACUUCAACAACACCAGAUUAUCAGAAGCACAAAGAGCACCGGCUUGCAUUUUUUUCUGGCUCAUGGGACAGGAGGGGUUGCAGACAAGGAAUGAGUCCCGUACUCAGGUGACUUCUUGUGAACCAAUCCCCUAAGGAAUAAAGAAGCCAAUCACUGGGUGCACAAUGAAAAAUUUUAUUCAUGACAGGUUUCAAAACAUGGAAAAGAAGACAUAAAUGCACAAAGGCAUCUCACAAAACUGUCACAUAAUAUAAAAACACCAGAACUGAGCUGUUAAAACCAUGGCUCAGGAUUCAUCCAUGUAUCUCAGCAACACAUUCAGUGCCUUAAGGUGAUCCAACUCCUUUUCCGACCUCUGUGGGCUCCUGUAUGCAUAUUCUUAGGCACUGUGCUGUGCUGUGAGUUUUCUGUUAACUCAAAACAAGCUGGAGUCAUUUCGAAAGAGGAAACUGAAAUUAAGAACAUUCUGCAAUCAGAUUAACCCAUGAGCAAGCCACUAAGCAACACUCCUCCAUGAUCUUUGCAUCAGCUCCUGCCUCAAGGUUCCUGCCCAGUUUGAGUUCCUUCCCUGACUUUCCUCAGUGAUGGACUGAUGUGGAACUAAAAGCUGAAACAAACCAUUUCCUGCCCAAGUUGGGUAUUGUUUUAUCACAGACUAGAAACACACACACAAACCACACAUGCACAUGAAAUAAAAUAAAAUAAAAUAAAUAUUA